RNAcentral lists this ribosomal RNA (920 nucleotides) under uncultured bacterium. RNAcentral's name for it is "bacterial SSU rRNA". It matches the Rfam family "Bacterial small subunit ribosomal RNA", at positions 8 to 963 of the family's 1533-position model. The record is from RNAcentral.
AGAGUUUGAUCCUGGCUCAGAAUCAACGCUGGCGGCGCGCUUAACACAUGCAAGUCGCACGAGAAAGGGGGCAACCCUGAGUAAAGUGGCGUACGGGUGAGUAACACGUGGAUCAUCUACCUUCUAGUGGGGAAUACCUCCGGGAAACUGGAGACAAUACCGCAUAAGCUCGUAAGAGGAAAGCAGCAAUGCGCUGGAAGAGGAGUCCGCGGCUGAUUAGCUAGUUGGUGAGGUAACGGCCCACCAAGGCGAAGAUCGGUAGCCGGCCUGAGAGGGCACACGGCCACACUGGCACUGAAACACGGGCCAGACUCCUACGGGAGGCAGCAGUGGGGAAUCUUGCACAAUGGAGGAAACUCUGAUGCAGCGACGCCGCGUGAGCGAUGAAGCCCUUCGGGGUGUAAAGCUCUUUCGACGGGAACGAUAAUGACGGUACCCGAAGAAGAAGCUGCGGCUAACUACGUGCCAGCAGCCGCGGUAAUACGUAGGCAGCAAGCGUUGUUCGGAAUUACUGGGCGUAAAGAGUGUGUAGGCGGUGCUCUAAGUCUGUUGUGAAAUCUCCCGGCUUAACUGGGAGGGUGCGGCGGAAACUGGAGUGCUCGAGGGUGGGAGAGGAAAGCGGAAUUCCUGGUGUAGCGGUGAAAUGCGUAGAUAUCAGGAGGAACACCUGCGGUGUAGACAGCUUUCUGGACCACUUCUGACGCUGAGACACGAAAGCGUGGGUAGCAAACAGGAUUAGAUACCCUGGUAGUCCACGCCCUAAACGAUGCAUACUUGGUGUGAGCCAUUCAUUUGGUUCGUGCCGGAGCUAACGCGUUAAGUAUGCCGCCUGGGGAGUACGGUCCCAAGGCUGAAACUCAAAGGAAUUGACGGGGGCCCGCACAACCGGGGGAACAUGGGGUUCAAUUCGACGCACCGCG